CCUACGGGAGGCAGCAGUAGGGAAUAUUGCUCAAUGGGGGAAACCCUGAAGCAGCAACGCCGCGUGGAGGAUGAAGGUUUUCGGAUUGUAAACUCCCUUUUUUAGAGAAGAUAAUGACGGUAUCUAACGAAUCAGCACCGGUUAACUCCGGGCCAGCAGCCGCGGUAACACUGAGGGUGCAAGCGUUACUCGGAAGCACUGGGCGUAAAGAGCGCGUAGGCGGGAUAGCAAGUCAGAUGUGAAAUCCUAUGGGUUAACCAUAGAAGUGCAGUUGAAACUGUUAUUCUAGAGUAUGGGAGUGGUAGGUGGAAUUCUUGGUGUAGCGGUGAAAUCCGUAGAGAUCAAGAGGAAUACUGAUUGCGAAGGCAACCUGCUAGAGCAUAACUGACGCUGAUGCGCGAAAGCGUGGGGAGCAAACAGGAUUAGAUACCCUGGUAGUC
Molecule: ribosomal RNA, 440 nt
Filed under: uncultured bacterium
Lineage: Bacteria
Description: partial 16S ribosomal RNA
Rfam family: Bacterial small subunit ribosomal RNA
Source: RNAcentral